AGUGAACGCUGGCGGCGUGCCUAAUACAUGCAAGUCGAACGGAGAUUAAAUAGCUUGCUAUUUAAUCUUAGUGGCGCACGGGUGAGUAAUAUAUAGUUAAUCUGCCCCAUAGUGGAGGACAACAGUUAGAAAUGACUGCUAAUACUCCAUACUACUUCUUAUCAUAAGUUAAGUCGGGAAAGUUUUUCGCUAUGGGAUGAGACUAUAUCGUAUCAGCUAGUUGGUGAGGUAAUGGCUCACCAAGGCUAUGACGCGUAACUGGUCUGAGAGGAUGAUCAGUCACAUUGGAACUGAGACACGGUCCAAACUCCUACGGGAGGCAGCAGUAGGGAAUAUUGCGCAAUGGGGGAAACCCUGACGCAGCAACGCCGCGUGGAGGAUGACACUUUUCGGAGCGUAAACUCCUUUUGUUAGGGAAGAAUAAUGACGGUACCUAACGAAU
RNAcentral lists this ribosomal RNA (442 nucleotides) under Campylobacter sp. oral taxon 044. Its description in RNAcentral is "bacterial SSU rRNA". It matches the Rfam family "Bacterial small subunit ribosomal RNA", at positions 29 to 487 of the family's 1533-position model. Lineage: Bacteria; Pseudomonadati; Campylobacterota; Epsilonproteobacteria; Campylobacterales; Campylobacteraceae. The record is from RNAcentral.